RNAcentral lists this ribosomal RNA (747 nucleotides) under uncultured Alphaproteobacteria bacterium. RNAcentral's name for it is "bacterial SSU rRNA". It matches the Rfam family "Bacterial small subunit ribosomal RNA", at positions 55 to 859 of the family's 1533-position model. Lineage: Bacteria; Pseudomonadati; Pseudomonadota; Alphaproteobacteria. The record is from RNAcentral.
AUGCAAGUCGAACGAUAUAGUGGCAGACGGGUGAGUAACGCGUGGGAACGUACCUUUCACUACGGAAUAGCUCCGAGAAAUUGGUGGUAAUACCGUAUACGCCCUCAGGGGGAAAGAUUUAUCGGUGAAAGAUCGGCCCGCGUUGGAUUAGCUAGUUGGUGAGGUAAUGGCUCACAAAGGCGACGAUCCAUAGCUGGUCUGAGAGGAUGAUCAGCCACACUGGGACUGAGACACGGCCCAGACUCCUACGGGAGGCAGCAGUGGGGAAUCUUGCACAAUGGGCGAAAGCCUGAUGCAGCCAUGCCGCGUGAAUGAUGAAGGCCUUAGGGUUGUAAAAUUCUUUCGUCAGGGAUGAUAAUGACCGUACCUGAAGAAGAAGCCCCGGCUAACUUCGUGCCAGCAGCCGCGGUAAUACGAAGGGGGCUAGCGUUGUUCGGAAUUACUGGGCGUAAAGCACACGUAGGCGGAUUUUUAAGUCAGGUGUGAAAUCCCGGGGCUCAACCUCGGAACUGCAUUUGAAACUGGAAGUCUUGAGACCAGGAGAGGUUAGCGGAAUACCGAGUGUAGAGGUGAAAUUCGUAGAUAUUCGGUGGAACACCAGUGGCGAAGGCGGCUAACUGGACUGGUACUGACGCUGAGGUGCGAAAGUGUGGGGAGCAAACAGGAUUAGAUACCCUGGUAGUCCACACCGUAAACGAUGAGAGCUAGUUGUUGGCAGGCAAGCCUGUCGGUGACGCAGCUAACGCA